Molecule: ribosomal RNA, 394 nt
Filed under: uncultured bacterium
Lineage: Bacteria
Description: bacterial SSU rRNA
Rfam family: Bacterial small subunit ribosomal RNA
Source: RNAcentral
AUUGAACGCUGGCGGCAUGCCUUACACAUGCAAGUCGAACGGCAGCACGGGGCAACCUGGUGGCGAGUGGCGAACGGGUGAGUAAUGCAUCGGAACGUGCCAUUGAGUGGGGGAUAACGUAGCGAAAGUUGCGCUAAUACCGCAUAUUCUGUGAGCAGGAAAGCAGGGGACCGCAAGGCCUUGCGCUCUUUGAGCGGCCGAUGUCAGAUUAGCUAGUUGGUAAGGUAACGGCUUACCAAGGCGACGAUCUGUAGCGGGUCUGAGAGGAUGAUCCGCCACACUGGAACUGAGACACUGUCCAGACUCCUACGGGAGGCAGCAGUGGGGAAUUUUGGACAAUGGGCGCAAGCCUGAUCCAGCCAUGCCGCGUGAGUGAAGAAGGCCUUCGGGUUGU